Molecule: ribosomal RNA, 253 nt
Filed under: uncultured bacterium
Lineage: Bacteria
Description: partial 16S ribosomal RNA
Rfam family: Bacterial small subunit ribosomal RNA
Source: RNAcentral
UACGGGGGGGGCAAGCGUUGUCCGGAAUUAUUGGGUGUAAAGGGCGCGUAGGCGGAUUUGUAAGUCAGUGGUGAAAUCUCGGGACUUAACUCCGAGACUGCCUCUGAGACUGCUUUUCUUGAGUGUGGAAGAGGAAAUCGGAAUUCCCGGUGUAGCGGUGAAAUGCGUAGAUAUCGGGAAGAACACCAGUGGCGAAGGCGGAUUUCUGGUCCACAACUGACGCUGAGGCGCGAAAGCGUGGGUAGCAAACAGG